UGAAUACGAGACGCUAAGGCGUCGAAGUAGUGUAUAUCAGACUUCCAAGAAAAGCUUGCACUGUCAUAGAUAAAAAAUGCCUGUACCAUAACCGACACAGGUGGGUAGGUAGAGUAUACUAAGGGGCGCGAGAUAACUCUCUCUAAGGAACUCGGCAAAAUAACUCCGUAACUUCGGGAGAAGGAGUGCCUUAUUUAUAAGGUUGCAAUAACAAGAUCCAAGCAACUGUUUAUCAAAAACACAGGUCUCCGCUAAGUCGUAAGACGAUGUAUGGGGGCUGACGCCUGCCCAGUGCCAGAAGGUUAAAGAAGUUGGUUAGCAAUUGCGAAGCUGAUAACUGAAGCCCUGGUGAACGGCGGCCGUAACAAUAACGGUCCUAAGAUAGCGAAAUUCCUUGUCGGGUAAGUUCCGACCCGCACGAAAGGCGUAAUGAUUUGGAUACUGUCUCGGAGAGGGGCUCGGUGAAAUAGACUUGUCUGUGAAGAUGCGGACUACCUGCACCAGGACAGAAAGACCCUAUGAAGCUUUACUGUAACUUGAAAUUGAAAUUGGACUUUAUUCGCGCAGCAUAGGUGGGAGGCGUUGAUUAUAAUCUUGCGGGAUUAUUGGAGCCAUCAGUGAGAUACCACUCUUGUAAUGUUAGAUUUCUAACUUUGAAUCAUUAUCUGGUCAAAGAACAGUUUCAGGCGGGCAGUUUGACUGGGGCGGUCGCCUCCUAAAUGGUAACGGAGGCGUACAAAGGUUUCCUCUGAACGGUUAGAAAUCGUAUCUAGAGUGUAAAGGCAUAAGGAAGCUUGACUGUGAGACCUACAAGUCGAGCAGGGACGAAAGUCGGUCUUAGUGAUCUGACGGUACUGAGUGGAAAGGCCGUCACUCAACGGAUAAAAGUUACUCUAGGAUAACAGGCUGAUCUCCCCCAAGAGUUCACAUCGACGGGGAGGUUUGGCACCUCGAUGUCGGCUCAUCGCAUCCUGGGGCGGUAGUACGUCCCAAGGGUUGGGCUGUUCGCCCAUGAAAGCGGUACGCGAGCUGGGUUCAGAACGUCGUGAGACAGUUCGGUCCAUAUCCGGUGUAGGCGUUAGAAUAUUGAGAGGAGCCUUCUUUAGUACGAGAGGACCGAGAAGGACAUACCUCUGGUGUACCAGUUAUCGUGCCAACGGUAAACGCUGGGUAGCUAUGUAUGGAGUGGAUAACCGCUGAAAGCAUCUAAGUGGGAAGCCCACCUCAAGAUAAGUAUUCC
This 1240-nucleotide ribosomal RNA is filed under the name metagenome. RNAcentral describes it as "bacterial LSU rRNA". It matches the Rfam family "Bacterial large subunit ribosomal RNA", at positions 1564 to 2814 of the family's 2925-position model. The record is from RNAcentral.